UACGGAGGGUGCAAGCGUUAUCCGGAUUUACUGGGUUUAAAGGGUGCGCAGGCGGAUAUGUAAGUCAGUGGUGAAAUCUCUAGGCUUAACCUGGAAAUUGCCGUUGAUACUAUAUAUCUUGAAUGCUGUGGAGGUAAGCAGAAUAUGUCAUGUAGCGGUGAAAUGCUUAGAUAUGACAUAGAAUACCUAUUGCGAAGGCAGCUUACUACGCAGAUAUUGACGCUCAUGCACGAAAGCGUGGGGAUCAAACAGG
Molecule: ribosomal RNA, 253 nt
Filed under: uncultured bacterium
Lineage: Bacteria
Description: partial 16S ribosomal RNA
Rfam family: Bacterial small subunit ribosomal RNA
Source: RNAcentral